This 253-nucleotide ribosomal RNA is filed under the name uncultured bacterium. RNAcentral describes it as "partial 16S ribosomal RNA". It matches the Rfam family "Bacterial small subunit ribosomal RNA", at positions 524 to 776 of the family's 1533-position model. The record is from RNAcentral.
UACAGAGGGUGCAAGCGUUGUUCGGAAUUAUUGGGCGUAAAGCGCGUGUAGGCGGCUUUGCAAGUCGGGUGUGAAAUCCCUCAGCUUAACUGAGGAAGUGCGCCCGAAACUGCUUUGCUUGAGUGCCGGAGAGGAUGGCGGAAUUCCCCAAGUAGAGGUGAAAUUCGUAGAUAUGGGGAGGAACACCGGUGGCGAAGGCGGCCAUCUGGACGGUAACUGACGCUGAGACGCGAAAGCGUGGGGAGUAAACAGG